UCCCCUUCUUCUCUUCAUUUUCUUUUCUUCUCCUUCUUAAGCAAAAUAAGGGAGCAUAUGCCCUCCCUUCUUAGAAUAAGAAAAAGGGAAGAAAAAAGGUGUGGUGGUGGCUGUUGACCGGAGGACCAACGGUCGAUCAUCGUAAGCAACAGCUGAUGGUGACAACGGACUGAUGGUGAGGAGAUCAAAUGAAGAAAAAAGAAAAUAAAAUAGGGCUUUUCCCUUUAACAUGUGAUUCCUUUCAUAGAUAAUUGAGCUUCAACAAUAGGCAUAAUUUGGCAUAGAGGAUCAGUCAAGAACUUAGGCGACACAUGCUAAUGGUGAGAAAGGCUAGAAAAGAG
This 341-nucleotide long non-coding RNA is filed under the name Elaeis guineensis (African oil palm). Its description in RNAcentral is "long non-coding RNA (EGUI_LNC027656)". Lineage: Eukaryota; Viridiplantae; Streptophyta; Magnoliopsida; Arecales; Arecaceae. The record is from RNAcentral.